Molecule: long non-coding RNA, 956 nt
Filed under: Homo sapiens (human)
Lineage: Eukaryota; Metazoa; Chordata; Mammalia; Primates; Hominidae
Description: LNC_000060
Source: RNAcentral
CUGUGCAGUUUUAUUAACCAUUCAAGUCCAGUAGCAUCUGGUAAGAUUGGGACAGAAUUGGGAUUGAAAAGUGAACAGAUAUUCAGCAUCUAACAGUUCAAAAGAAGCCACUACAUACUCUUUUCACAAAUAUGUUUUCACAGAGCCAAUACAGUACUAGCCAUUAACCCAGUACACCAAGUGUACUGAAGUAGAAAAGAUGCAACAAGAAAAAUAGCUACAUUAGAAAGACCAACACUUUAGAAAAAGAGUAAAACACUUUCAGUUUCUCCCCUUUAGCCCCUAAAACAACAUCUUACAGUCUGGAUCUGGAUCUACCUAUACAGUCCUACAUUAGCUUCUAAAAUAUUUGUCAGGAGGGAAAAAAUAAAAUGACACUGGCCAGUACAGUCUUUGGAUAUUUAGGAAGGGGAUGGGGAGAAAGUCAGUUCUCAGAACAAAUUAGUCAGCUUCAGUCUCGUCAGCAGGGUCUUUGGAUUCUUUGUUCUUCCGCACUUCUUCAAUGUGCUUAUCCUUCUCUCGCAAACGUUCCAGUUUGGCAGCCAUUUGUGCCUCUCGGUUCUCUUUAUUAGCUUCCAUUUUGUGGGUCAGUUUCUCUUCUGCCAUUUUACUGAAGUUGUUGUUCUCUUCUAUUGCCUUCUGAAGCACUUCUUUCUCGUGCUCUCGUUUCUCAGCCAGCUGCUUCAAGACCUCAGCUUCAUGGGACUUGCGUCUUUCUUCUGCAGCUUCUAAUUUCUUCUGAAUUUCCUCCAGGGAAAGAUCCUUCUUCUUUGGAGGGGAAAGGGGGAAUUCUGGAACAGAUUCUUUUGACCGAGGGCUGAGAAUCAGCUCAAAAGCCUGGCCUGAGGCACGCUUCUCCAGUUCUUUCACCUGGAUAUCAGAAGAAGCCAUGGUGAAUAGAAGACAAGCGACAGGCAGUGUAUUCUGCACAAUCAACUGGGAUAAGGAAAGUCCUG